UGAGGGUCAAAGGCGCAAGUCGCCUGUGGAGGAGCCUGCGUUCGAUUAGCUUGUUGGUGGGGUAAAGGCCUACCAAGGCGAUGAUCGAUAGCUGGUCUGAGAGGAUGAUCAGCCACACUGGGACUGAGACACGGCCCAGACUCCUACGGGAGGCAGCAGUGGGGAAUAUUGGACAAUGGGCGAAAGCCUGAUCCAGCAAUGCCGCGUGUGUGAAGAAGGUCUUCGGAUUGUAAAGCACUUUCGACGGGGACGAUGAUGACGGUACCCGUAGAAGAAGCCCCGGCUAACUUCGUGCCAGCAGCCGCGGUAAUACGAAGGGGGCUAGCGUUGCUCGGAAUGACUGGGCGUAAAGGGCGCGUAGGCGGUUUACACAGUCAGA
Molecule: ribosomal RNA, 379 nt
Filed under: Asaia sp.
Lineage: Bacteria; Pseudomonadati; Pseudomonadota; Alphaproteobacteria; Acetobacterales; Acetobacteraceae
Description: bacterial SSU rRNA
Rfam family: Bacterial small subunit ribosomal RNA
Source: RNAcentral